This 253-nucleotide ribosomal RNA is filed under the name uncultured bacterium. RNAcentral describes it as "partial 16S ribosomal RNA". It matches the Rfam family "Bacterial small subunit ribosomal RNA", at positions 524 to 776 of the family's 1533-position model. The record is from RNAcentral.
UACGGAGGGUCCAAGCGUUAUCCGGAUUCAUUGGGUUUAAAGGGUGCGUAGGCGGCCUGUUAAGUCAGUGGUGAAAUUUUGUGGCUCAACCAUAAAACUGCCAUUGAAACUGAUAGGCUUGAAUACUGUCGAGGUAGGCGGAAUAGGUAGUGUAGCGGUGAAAUGCUUAGAUAUUACCUAGAACACCGAUAGCGAAGGCAGCUUACCAGAGAGUCAUUGACGCUGAUGCACGAAAGCGUGGGUAGCGAACGGG